ACGAACGCUGGCGGCGUGCUUAACACAUGCAAGUCGAACGAAGAGCGAUGGAAGCUUGCUUCUAUCAAUCUUAGUGGCGAACGGGUGAGUAACGCGUAAUCAACCUGCCCUUCAGAGGGGGACAACAGUUGGAAACGACUGCUAAUACCGCAUACGAUCUGACCUCGGCAUCGAGGAUAGAUGAAAGGUGGCCUCUAUUUAUAAGCUAUCACUGAAGGAGGGGAUUGCGUCUGAUUAGCUAGUUGGAGGGGUAACGGCCCACCAAGGCGAUGAUCAGUAGACGGUCUGAGAGGAUGAACGGCCAAAUUGGGACUGAGACACGGCCCAGACUCCUACGGGAGGCAGCAGUGGGGAAUCUUCCGCAAUGGACGAAAGUCUGACGGAGCAACGCCGCGUGAGUGAUGACGGCCUUCGGGUUGUAAAGCUCUGUUAAUCGGGACGAAAGGCCUUCUUGCGAAUAGUUAGAAGGAUUGACGGUACCGGAAUAGAAAGCCACGGCUAACUACGUG
RNAcentral lists this ribosomal RNA (509 nucleotides) under uncultured bacterium. Its description in RNAcentral is "partial 16S ribosomal RNA". It matches the Rfam family "Bacterial small subunit ribosomal RNA", at positions 29 to 507 of the family's 1533-position model. The record is from RNAcentral.